RNAcentral lists this ribosomal RNA (377 nucleotides) under uncultured bacterium. RNAcentral's name for it is "bacterial SSU rRNA". It matches the Rfam family "Bacterial small subunit ribosomal RNA", at positions 524 to 898 of the family's 1533-position model. The record is from RNAcentral.
GACGUAGGGGACGAGCGUUGUCCGGAUUCAUUGGGCGUAAAGCGCGCGUAGGCGGUUUGGUAAGUCGGAUGUGAAAACCAGAGGCUCAACCUCUGGCCUGCAUCCGAUACUGCCCGACUAGAGGUAGGUAGGGGAGAUCGGAAUUCCUGGUGUAGCGGUGAAAUGCGCAGAUAUCAGGAGGAACACCGGUGGCGAAGGCGGAUCUCUGGGCCUUACCUGACGCUGAGGCGCGAAAGCUAGGGGAGCAAACAGGAUUAGAUACCCUGGUAGUCCUAGCCGUAAACGUUGGGUGCUAGGUGUGGGAGGACAUCGACCCCUUCCGUGCCGAAGCUAACGCAUUAAGCACCCCGCCUGGGGAGUACGGCCGCAAGGCUAAA